GGAAGUUCUUGAGUGAUGCACCCUGGAAUCAGGCUCCCUCCUCUCUGGUUCCGGGGUGCAUCACCCAAGAACUGCC
Molecule: non-coding RNA, 76 nt
Organism: Eptesicus fuscus (big brown bat)
Lineage: Eukaryota; Metazoa; Chordata; Mammalia; Chiroptera; Vespertilionidae
Source: Rfam